RNAcentral lists this transfer RNA (66 nucleotides) under Pholidoptera griseoaptera (dark bush-cricket). RNAcentral describes it as "tRNA-Asn". Lineage: Eukaryota; Metazoa; Arthropoda; Insecta; Orthoptera; Tettigoniidae. The record is from RNAcentral.
UUAAUUGAAACCAAAUCAGAGGUGUAUUACUGUUAAUAAUAUUAUUGAAAGCCAUUUCCAAUUAAA